RNAcentral lists this transfer RNA (99 nucleotides) under Streptomyces griseomycini. RNAcentral's name for it is "tRNA-Thr(ggt)". Lineage: Bacteria; Bacillati; Actinomycetota; Actinomycetes; Kitasatosporales; Streptomycetaceae. The record is from RNAcentral. RNAcentral also lists the same sequence under 1 other name.
CCCGGCCGCGCCCGGGAGCACGGCGGCGCCCGGCCCGGUGCGACGGGCACGGAUACUUCUGGGUGAUCCCCCGCAGGUUCGAAUCCUGCUGCCGGUCCC